UCACGGGUACUCAGCGCACCAUGAUGCCACAGCUUACAUCCAGCUGGGUCGUUGUUGUUGCUGUUGUUUUUAAGGUUAAUCAGGUCUUUAAUAAAAGACCAUGGAAAUGUCAGCAGUCUGAACAAACAAACCUGAAUUGUAACUGAACAUUCGUUCAAACAAAGAAAUAUAAACCCUGUUUUUAUUAAUGUUCUUCACACAGCUUUCUCUUUCAGGUACUGGUGGAAUGCAGCUAUCUAUGGAAAUAUUCUCUGUUCUGAAUACUGGAUGAUAAGACUGAUGACUGCCUAGUAACUACUGACCUAAAAUAUUCAUUGCACCUUGAAUCCUAUAUUCCAUCUUGCUAUU
Coturnix japonica (Japanese quail) is the source of this 348-nucleotide non-coding RNA. Lineage: Eukaryota; Metazoa; Chordata; Aves; Galliformes; Phasianidae. The record is from RefSeq and is a predicted model, not a curated record.